RNAcentral lists this ribosomal RNA (499 nucleotides) under uncultured bacterium. RNAcentral describes it as "partial 16S ribosomal RNA". It matches the Rfam family "Bacterial small subunit ribosomal RNA", at positions 28 to 504 of the family's 1533-position model. The record is from RNAcentral.
GACGAACGCUGGCGGCGUGCCUAAUACAUGCAAGUCGAACGAACCGCGACUAGGUGCUUGCACUUGGUCAAGGUGAGUGGCGAACGGGUGAGUAACACGUGGGUAACCUACCUCAUAGUGGGGGAUAACAGUCGGAAACGACUGCUAAUACCGCAUAGGACAUAGGAUCACAUGAUCCAGUGAGGAAAGGUGGCGCAAGCUAUCGCUAAGAGAUGGACCCGCGAUGCAUUAGCUAGUUGGUAGGGUAAAGGCCUACCAAGGCGAUGAUGCAUAGCCGACCUGAGAGGGUGAUCGGCCACAUUGGGACUGAGACACGGCCCAAACUCCUACGGGAGGCAGCAGUGGGGAAUCUUCCGCAAUGGACGCAAGUCUGACGGAGCAACGCCGCGUGAGUGAAGAAGGUCUGCGGAUCGUAAAGCUCUGUUGUUAGAGAAGAACAGCGCAUAGAGUAACUGUUAUGCGUGUGACGGUAUCUAACCAGAAAGCCACGGCUAACUAC